This 553-nucleotide ribosomal RNA is filed under the name uncultured Actinomycetes bacterium. RNAcentral's name for it is "bacterial SSU rRNA". It matches the Rfam family "Bacterial small subunit ribosomal RNA", at positions 97 to 670 of the family's 1533-position model. Lineage: Bacteria; Bacillati; Actinomycetota; Actinomycetes. The record is from RNAcentral.
GGCGAACGGGUGAGUAACACGUUGGUGACCUGCCCCGAGGUGGGGGACAACCGUGGGAAACCACGGCUAAUACCCCAGAUGUUGAGGAGUCUAGACGCCCUUAACUAAAGUUCCGGCGCCUCGGGAGGGACCUGCGGGCUAUCAGCUUGUUGGUGGGGUAAUGGCCUACCAAGGCUCAGACGGCUAGGGGGCGUGAGAGCGCGACCCCCCACAAUGGAACUGAGACACGGUCCAUACUCCUACGGGAGGCAGCAGUGAGGAAUAUUGCGCAAUGGGGGAAACCCUGACGCAGCAACGCCGCGUGGAUGAUGAAGGCCUUCGGGUUGUAAAAUCCUUUUCUGAGGGACGAUAAUGACGGUACCUCAGGAAUAAGUCCCGGCUAACUACGUGCCAGCAGCCGCGGUAAAACGUAGGGGGCGAGCGUUAUCCGGAUUUAUUGGGCGUAAAGCGCGCGUAGGCGGCGCUGUAAGUUGGACGUGAAAGCUCUUGGCUUAACUGAGAGAGGUCGUUCAAAACUGCAGCGAUUGAGGUUGGAAGAGGAGAGUAGAAUUCC